AUUGAACGCUGGCGGCAGGCCUAACACAUGCAAGUCGAGCGGAUGAAGGGAGCUUGCUCCUGGAUUCAGCGGCGGACGGGUGAGUAAUGCCUAGGAAUCUGCCUGGUAGUGGGGGAUAACGUCCGGAAACGGGCGCUAAUACCGCAUACGUCCUGAGGGAGAAAGUGGGGGAUCUUCGGACCUCACGGUAUCAGAUGAGCCUAGGUCGGAUUAGCUAGUUGGUGGGGUAAGGGCCUACCAAGGCGACGAUCGGUAACUGGCCUGGGGGGAUGACCGGCCACUGCGGGACUGCGAGACGGCCCAGACUCCGACGGGAGGCAGCAGUCGGGAAUAUUGCACGAUGGGCGGAAGCGGGAUGCAGGAACGCCGUGUGCGGGAUGACGGUUUUCGGGUUGUAAACAGCUUUCGCCUGUGACGAAGCGUGAGUGACGGUAAUGGGUAAAGAAGCACCGGCUAACUACGUG
RNAcentral lists this ribosomal RNA (464 nucleotides) under uncultured bacterium. RNAcentral's name for it is "partial 16S ribosomal RNA". It matches the Rfam family "Bacterial small subunit ribosomal RNA", at positions 28 to 507 of the family's 1533-position model. The record is from RNAcentral.